Molecule: unclassified non-coding RNA, 1729 nt
Filed under: Hevea brasiliensis (rubber tree)
Lineage: Eukaryota; Viridiplantae; Streptophyta; Magnoliopsida; Malpighiales; Euphorbiaceae
Source: RNAcentral
AAAAAAAAAUUAUUUUUCUUAAAAAUGAUUUAAUUUUUCCGCUAAUUAGAAAAUAUUUUUUAUUGACUAAUUUUACUGAUCGCCCCAAACACAAAAAAAAUGUGAAAAGUAUUUUUUAUAAAAUAAACAAUUUUAUAUAUGAGUCUAAAUUUUGAAAAUAAAAAAAAUUGCUUAGUAGUUACUUACUACCCUCUUUGUAUAUAUGUGUAAUCCGUGUCGGAUUGCCAUUAAUUACUCUUUCUUUGGGCCAGUAGUGAUUGCCAGUCGCCACUGAUUGGAGAAGGGCUUUAACAAAUUAACAGGCAGGCAUUUUUAGGCAACUAACUAUAAUCUAAAUGAAAAAUGCAGCCACAUAUUUGUGGGGUGGAAGUUCUGAUUAUUCUUCAAAAGGUAGAUAUUUUGAACUUGUGUAAUUGUGCGGCCCAAACUAUUGACAUACUUCUUAGAAGGUUUCUUGGUUGAUUUGAGGUCCGGAAUUCAAGUGUAUUCUUCGUGGGUUGGAUAUUGUUGAGAAUAAAAUUUUAAUUCGAUGAAAUAGGUUGAUAAAAGACAACCUAUUAUUGAGUGAACUUCCUAUUCUUUGAUUUUGUACUAUUGAGUCCAGGAAUUUACUUUCCAAUUUAAGGAUAUUAACAGGAAAAAAAAAAAAAGAGAAAGUUGUCGAGGACAAUCUAAAUUCUAAAGAACAAUUGCGCUAGUUUUUAGAAUUAUCUGAAACUGAAAUUGAAUUUUUGCAAUCAUGAUGCAGGAGCUGCAAGAUAGGGUGGCAAAGGCAAAGGAUUCCAAUGAAGAGAUGAUAAAAAUAUGGAAGGAGAUUGUCGACUUCCAUGGAGACAUGGUUUUGUUGGAGAAUUAUAGUGCCCUUAACUACACAGGUAGUUAAAUAUUUGCUUUAAUAUUUCUAUUGAGUUGAUAAUUUUGUUUAAUUUUUAGUUAUAUGAUUUGAACCUUUUGGGCAUACGAAUGUUUUUCCUUCUCAAGAUUUAUUCUGGACUCCAGACUUGUACUGCAGACUGAUACCUAUUGUUUCGAACAAUUUAAUUAACUUGCCAUGGUUUUAACAGGAUUGGUAAAAAUACUCAAGAAGUAUGACAAAAGAACUGGCGCUCUCAUUCGCUUGCCCUUCAUCCAGAAGGUCUUGCAACAGCCCUUCUUUACCACUGACCUGCUGUACAAGCUUGUGAAAGAGUGUGAGACAAUGCUUGAUCGCCUUUUCCCCAUAUAUGAAUCACCAUCAUUGGUUGAAGCAGUUGAUGGGGACGAAGGAUGUGAUCCUUCAACUUCGGCUACAACCAAGAAUGAUGGUCCUCUCAGAGUGCCCAAAGAACUUGCAGAGAUUGAGCUUAUGGAGAGUUCAUAUAUGAAGAGCACCAUUUCAGCAUUGCGGGUUUUGAAGGAAAUUCGGAGCAGAAGCUCUACUGUUAGUGUAUUUUCAUUGCCACCGCUGCAGUUGACUGGGUUGGAGGAUACUUGGAAGAAGGUUCCCAUUCUAGAACAGGUGGCCAAGUAAUUGGAUUUUGAGAAAGGAAAUAGAGCCAGAUAUCACUUUGUUUUGUAAUAUUACUCUUUUCCCUCACCUCCUCUUUUUUGGGUUAUCUUUAGCUCAUAUUUUAGAUACUAACACAGAUGUAAAAGUAAUGUUUAAUUCAAGCUGAAAUGAAUAUUGUACAAGGACAAGUUCUGAUAAAAGUAUCCUUGCACUCUUUGGAAGUUGAAAAAUUGGUGAAAC